RNAcentral lists this ribosomal RNA (490 nucleotides) under uncultured bacterium. Its description in RNAcentral is "partial 16S ribosomal RNA". It matches the Rfam family "Bacterial small subunit ribosomal RNA", at positions 29 to 523 of the family's 1533-position model. The record is from RNAcentral.
AAUGAACGUUGGCGGCGUGGAUUAGGCAUGCAAGUCGAGCGAGAAGAGUUUGGUAGCUUGCUAUUGAACUCGGAAAGCGGCGAAAGGGAGAGUAACGCGUAGUUACGUGCCCCAGGGUUCGGAAUAGCCACGGGAAACUGUGGGUAAUGCCGAAUAACAUCUCCGGAUCAAAGGUGUGAUUCCGCCCUGGGAGCGGACUGCGUCCUACUAGCUAGUUGGCGGGGUAAUGGCCCACCAAGGCAACAAUGGGUAGCGGGUGUGAGAGCAUGACCCGUCUCACUGGGACUGAGACACUGCCCAGACACCUACGGGUGGCUGCAGUCGAGAAUCUUCGGCAAUGGGCGAAAGCCUGACCGAGCGACGCCGCGUGCGGGAUGAAGGCCCUCGGGUUGUAAACCGCUGUCGUAGGGGAGGAAGGCUCCAUGAAGAAUGGGGUUUGACCUAUCCUAGGAGGAAGUACGGGCUAAGUUCGUGCCAGCCGCCGCCGUAA